GCAGGCCCCCACGGACAGCAUC
RNAcentral lists this unclassified non-coding RNA (22 nucleotides) under Mus musculus (house mouse). RNAcentral's name for it is "oocyte_clustered_small_RNA9672". The record is from RNAcentral. Lineage: Eukaryota; Metazoa; Chordata; Mammalia; Rodentia; Muridae.